This is a long non-coding RNA of Nicotiana tabacum (common tobacco), 1440 nucleotides long. RefSeq lists it as uncharacterized. Lineage: Eukaryota; Viridiplantae; Streptophyta; Magnoliopsida; Solanales; Solanaceae. The record is from RefSeq and is a predicted model, not a curated record.
CUUCCUACAAUUAAUUAUUUUUUGCACUGUGUAUUAUCACGAGAUCUUGAAGAGUUGUCUCCAGAUUCUGAGCAUAAAUGUGAUCCGCUCUUCUAGUAUGCUAAAUGCUUACCGGCAGGCCUACAAUUCUCUGUUGUUUGUGUUGGCAAUUCAUUUGGGUUUCAUAAUAUUAGUACUUUUUGCAUAUUAAUCUGACAAUUUGAAAUUCACAGAGCAUCAAGUGGAGAAAAUCGAUCCUCUUCUUAAGUGGGUAGAGUCAGAAUUUGGCUUCAAGCCAGCCGUAUAUACCAGUUUUUUUUGUGGCAAGCAAGACGAUGGUCUUGUUAGUGCCAUUGAAAGCCUUCUCAAGAAAAUGGAUGACUGUGAAUUAGCAACAAUUGAUGCAAUUGCUUCAGCUUCACAUUCGCUAGUCAUUGCACUUGGGAUUGAAGAGGCUAUUGAGUUGAUUAGGCUCGAGGAAGAUUUGCAGGCGGCCAUGAUGUUGAUAUUGCAGAUCUAAAAGUUCAGAUUGCUUCAGCUGUGGUGUUUCUUGGACUUACGAGGAGAGUAUAGAUAUGGUACUCAUUUUGUGAGUUUUACCUUAUUCUGUCUCUUUAGUACAUUAGCUCAAUACCAAUAGCAUUUCCUAUAACAUAGUUGGAGUAGCUGGUCGGUCCUUGUAUGGAUAUUACGCCAUUUUAUGGCUUUCUUUCUUUCCUUCUUAUAUUUUGAGAAACAGAUUUGAAAUCCAUAAUGCCUCCUCAUUUUACAAUCGGACAAAUCUUGCCUCUUGGUCUAGAUUAUGCUGCCAAUCAAGGCCCAGCUUCAAGUGCGAAUCCCAAUUACCAAUGAAUUGGAAUGACAGACGAAUGCCUUGAUCUUCAUAUUGACGAAUAAACUGAAGUGAAGCCAUGUCAUUUAGAAAGUUAUCCUCCAUUCUUUGGAAAUCAUGAAGCUUGAUAGUAUAUGAUGUAUGCUAUAAGUAAGAAGAGCAAAAUUCAACGAAUUCUAUACAAUGGCUCUUUUAAACCUAUUUGAAAAGCAUAUUUAGAAGAGAGCGUUGGUUCCACUCGUUGAGUGACCAAGAUAUUUAUGGCUGCAUUUGAGAAACUUGACGACAUACCUCCCUGUUUGCAAAUAUAAAGGCUAGGAAAUAAGACCUCAGAUUCAUUGCAUAAAAUAGAACACAUUGAUUUCGUAAUGCAUGCAGCUAAAAGAGAAGCUCUAGCUUAGCAUGCUUUAAGAUCUAAGGCUCCAAUCUUUUGAUACAACUUGUAGUCCAAAAUCACCAUUUUUGUUUUCUUCUUGAAUUUGAUAGAUGCAUCAAUUAUAAGCAGUAUUUGCUUGAAGCUAAGAGAAAAGUCUGGUAUUAAGUGGAGAAGGGCAAAGAGGACACUAUCCAACGAGUUUUGAAGCUUGCGCCACUCAACAGAAAUUGUAAGGCUCUCCAAAAAAAAAAAA